This 497-nucleotide ribosomal RNA is filed under the name uncultured bacterium. Its description in RNAcentral is "partial 16S ribosomal RNA". It matches the Rfam family "Bacterial small subunit ribosomal RNA", at positions 28 to 507 of the family's 1533-position model. The record is from RNAcentral.
GAUGAACGCUGGCGGCGUGCCUAAUACAUGCGAGUCGAGCGAACAGACGAGGAGCUUGCUCCUCUGACGUUAGCGGCGGACGGGUGAGUAACACGUGGAUAACCUACCUAUAGGACUGGGAUAACUUCGGGAAACCGGAGCUAAUACCGGAUAAUAUAUUGAACCGCAUGGUUCAAUAGUGAAAGACGGUUUUGCUGUCACUUAUAGAUGGAUCCGCGCCGCAUUAGCUAGUUGGUAAGGUAACGGCUUACCAAGGCAACGAUGCGUAGCCGACCUGAGAGGGUGAUCGGCCACACUGGAACUGAGACACGGUCCAGACUCCUACGGGAGGCAGCAGUAGGGAAUCUUCCGCAAUGGGCGAAAGCCUGACGGAGCAACGCCGCGUGAGUGAUGAAGGUCUUCGGAUCGUAAAACUCUGUUAUUAGGGAAGAACAAAUGUGUAAGUAACUAUGCACGUCUUGACGGUACCUAAUCAGAAAGCCACGGCUAACUACGUG